UACAGAGGGUGCGAGCGUUAAUCGGAGUUACUGGGCGUAAAGGGCGCGUAGGCGGUGAGAUGAGUGUGAUGUGAAAGCCCUGGGCUUAACCUAGGAAGUGCAUCGCAAACUAUCUGACUGGAGUAUAUGAGAGGGUAGCGGAAUUUCCGGUGUAGCGGUGAAAUGCGUAGAGAUCGGAAGGAACGUCGAUGGCGAAGGCAGCCACCUGGCAUAAUACUGACGCUGAGGCGCGAAAGCGUGGGGAGCGAACAGG
Molecule: ribosomal RNA, 253 nt
Filed under: uncultured bacterium
Lineage: Bacteria
Description: partial 16S ribosomal RNA
Rfam family: Bacterial small subunit ribosomal RNA
Source: RNAcentral